GACGAACGCUGGCGGCGUGCCUAAUACAUGCAAGUUGAGCGCUGAAGGUUGGUACUUGUACCAACUGGAUGAGCAGCGAACGGGUGAGUAACGCGUGGGGAAUCUGCCUUUGAGCGGGGGACAACAUUUGGAAACGAAUGCUAAUACCGCAUAAAAACUUUAAACACAAGUUUUAAGUUUGAAAUAUGCAAUUGCAUCACUCAAAGAUGAUCCCGCGUUGUAUUAGCUAGUUGGUGAGGUAAAGGCUCACCAAGGCGAUGAUACAUAGCCGACCUGAGAGGGUGAUAGGCCACAUUGGGACUGAGACACGGCCCAAACUCCUACGGGAGGCAGCAGUAGGGAAUAUUCGGCAAUGGACGAAAGUCUGACCGAGCAACGCCGCGUGAGUGAAGAAGGUUUUCGGAUCGUAAAACUCUGUUGGUAGAGAAGAACGUUGGUGAGAGUGGAAAGCUCAUCAAGUGACGGUAACUACCCAGAAAGGGACGGCUAACUACGUG
Molecule: ribosomal RNA, 497 nt
Filed under: uncultured bacterium
Lineage: Bacteria
Description: partial 16S ribosomal RNA
Rfam family: Bacterial small subunit ribosomal RNA
Source: RNAcentral